UACGGGGGGAGCAAGCGUUGUUCGGAUUUACUGGGCGUAAAGGGCGCGUCGGCGGCCAGCACAAGUCAGUUGUGAAAUCUCCGAGCUUAACUCGGAAAGGUCAACUGAUACUGUGCGGCUAGAGUGCGGAAGGGGCAACUGGAAUUCUUGGUGUAGCGAUGAAAUGCGUAGAUAUCAAGAGGAACACCUGCGGCGAAGGCGGGUUGCUGGGCCGACACUGACGCUGAGGCGCGAAAGCCAGGGGAGCGAACGGG
Molecule: ribosomal RNA, 254 nt
Filed under: uncultured bacterium
Lineage: Bacteria
Description: partial 16S ribosomal RNA
Rfam family: Bacterial small subunit ribosomal RNA
Source: RNAcentral